AGCAGCCGCGGUAAUUCCAGCUCCAAUAGCGUAUAUUAAAGUUGUUGCAGUUAAAAAGCUCGUAGUUGAAUUUCGAGACCGGUUUACUGGUCGUGCUUUUGUACGUACUGGUAUUAUUGGUUUCUCCUUUCUGACGAAUCAUAAUGCCAUUAAUUUGGUGUUUUGGGGAAUCAGGACUGUUACUUUGAAAAAAUUAGAGUGUUUAAAGCAGGCUCACGCUUGAAUACAUUAGCAUGGAAUAACGAAAUAGGACGUUUGAUUUUAUUUUGUUGGUUUCUAGGAUCGACGUAAUGAUUAAUAGGGAUAGUUGGGGGCAUUAGUAUUCAAUUGUCAGAGGUGAAAUUCUUGGAUUUAUUGAAGACUAACUACUGCGAAAGCAUUUGCCAAGGAUGUUUUCAUUAAUCAAGAACGAAAGUUAGGGGAUCGAAGACGAUCAGAUACCGUCGUAGUCUUAACCAUAAACUAUGCCGACUAGGGAUCGGAUGAUGUUAAUUUUUAAUGACUCAUUCGG
This 511-nucleotide ribosomal RNA is filed under the name uncultured Glomus. Its description in RNAcentral is "SSU rRNA". It matches the Rfam family "Eukaryotic small subunit ribosomal RNA", at positions 569 to 1083 of the family's 1831-position model. The record is from RNAcentral. Lineage: Eukaryota; Fungi; Glomeromycota; Glomeromycetes; Glomerales; Glomeraceae.